Molecule: RNA transcript, 1498 nt
Organism: Centruroides sculpturatus (bark scorpion)
Lineage: Eukaryota; Metazoa; Arthropoda; Arachnida; Scorpiones; Buthidae
Exons: 3
Source: RefSeq, a predicted model, not a curated record
UUUCUUGAAAAAAUUGUGGAUGCAUUUAAAAUUGAGAUUUACAAGCGAAGAAAUGUAGAAGAUUUAAUCCUUUCCGCGGUGGGGCACUUAUGUUUUUACUCUUAUUGUCCUGUUGACACUAAGAAGAUCUUUUAAUCAGACCCAUCAUGGAUUCGGCGAAGUUCACAAAAUGAAGUUGCUGAAUGUUAAUGGACGAGAUCCGAAUAUUUGUGACAAACCCCUCACGAAAAUUCCUGGGUUUUUCGACUCGUCAGGAUUCGUUUCUGGGUCCUCCAGAGAGCGCUCGGCUGACGUCUUAAUUCAGUGGUUUUCAACUGAGGUGCCGCAACAUCACUUCAAGAGUGCCGCGAAAUAAUAGGCCCACUGAACAGCGCUGUAACACUUCUUACGUGUAAGUUGUGAUUAUAAGUACGAAAAAAGCAAUAAUUCUACAUUGAUAAAGGAAUAGAGAUGCCGCAAGAAAAAUUAAUUAAAUUGAUGGUGCCACUAUUAGAAAAAGAUUGGAAAACACUGUCUUAACCACUGGAUCAUCCGGCCGUCGCCUUAUGAGAACUAACUGUAAGAGCAGAGUCGUCGAGAAGAGUAGAGCUGAGAAUUUUUUCCUGGUUCUUAGUGGUUCUUAUUUUUAUAAAUUAAUUUUAUCUCUAUUAACAAAAAAUAAAAUCUUUAAGACUGAUUUUUAAAGAAACAUUAUAAGUAUUUUAUUUCGUCAAAAAAAGCAAAAUAAUUGGUUUGAUUGAUUUGAUAGGACACGGCAAUGUAACACAUAGCCGAUCAUCCAAGUAGGACCGCUCUCGUGAGGACUUUCUGUGAGAAGCUGUCUCCUAUUUAAGUGUUAGAGUUCUUCUCUUAACACCACUCCCCGCCGCUGAGGACGAGAUUUGCAUCCUGUCAAAACAGUGUUUAGCUCUUGAUGAAAAAAUAAUUGCUCGAUCCGUAAGAGAUGUAGUGUACGCUGAACAGAAAACAUUACAAGAAAAAUUACGAAAAGAAGUAUAGAAAAUCAAAGCAAGAAUGAGCUAGAUCACAGAGUUAGGAGAGUGAAAAGAAGACAAAGUGGAGGUUCCAGUGGAGGUUGCAGAUCAGAUAGCUCUCGUGGAUCUUCGCAAACCAUCGCUUUAUUAGCUAUACCCGUUCAACUUGUUGCAGUUAGAAUACCUGUUCAAAGUACAGGAAGUGGAGGAAGUAGCGGUUGUGGAAAUAAGCCGUCAACUGGAAGCUGCAGUUCCAGUUGUAAUCGUUGCAAGCCUAGUUGCAAUUGUAGAUAAAAUAAAAACUGCCUUACUGUAAGAAAAUAAUUUUUAUAAUUACACCUAUAGUCUAUAUUGUAUGUCUUUUGUUUGACAUCUAUUAAGUAUUUGUUCUAUCUCGACAUUAGAAUUAAUUGUUUGAUUUAUCAUGUUCUGCUCUCUUUAUGUCUCAAUACACUCGGUACUCUUAAAAAUUAACUUUUUAGAUAAGUAAUUCAUAUUAAUGAAUUGAUGAAGCCAUUAGAAGU